GGUGGAAGACACGACCUAGCCUUGAAACUCUGUUGUGAUCUAGGGGUUAAAGGCCUCCUACCCUGCGAAUUAUUAGGAUCCAAUCCAUCCCUAUCCAUAUCCGGGUUCAGCGGAGGCAGUGAAGUCCUCGAAGACGACCAUGAUGCUGACCGCCAGUACAUUCUACUCCGACCAUUUAUCAGUUGGCAUGGCUCCUGAGAACCACC
This 206-nucleotide long non-coding RNA is filed under the name Nicotiana benthamiana. Its description in RNAcentral is "long non-coding RNA (NBEN_LNC000212)". Lineage: Eukaryota; Viridiplantae; Streptophyta; Magnoliopsida; Solanales; Solanaceae. The record is from RNAcentral.